RNAcentral lists this ribosomal RNA (718 nucleotides) under uncultured bacterium. RNAcentral's name for it is "SSU rRNA". It matches the Rfam family "Bacterial small subunit ribosomal RNA", at positions 632 to 1347 of the family's 1533-position model. The record is from RNAcentral.
ACUGGUUUUCUUGAGUGUGGAUGAAGUAGGCGGAAUUUGUGGUGUAGCGGUGAAAUGCAUAGAUAUCACAAGGAACACCGAUUGCGCAGGCAGCUUACUAAACCAUAACUGACGCUCAGGCACGAAGGCGUGGGGAGCAAACAGGAUUAGAUACCCUGGUAGUCCACGCAGUAAACGAUGAUUACUAGCUGUUUGCGAUACAAUGUAAGCGGCUGAGCGAAAGCGUUAAGUAAUCCACCUGGGGAGUACGUUCGCAAGAAUGAAACUCAAAGGAAUUGACGGGGGUCCCGCACAAGCGGAGGAACAUGUGGUUUAAUUCGAUGAUACGCGAGGAACCUUACCCGGGGCUUGAAAUGCAUCUGACCGGCCUUGAAAGAGGUUUUACCCUUCGGGGCAGAUGUGUAGGUGCUGCAUGGUUGUCGUCAGCUCGUGCCGUGAGGUGUCGGCUUAAGUGCCAUAACGAGCGCAACCCGUCAUCAUUAGUUACCAUCAGGUAAGGCUGGGGACUCUAAUGAGACUGCCAUCGUAAGAUGUGAGGAAGGUUGGGGAUGACGUCAAAUCAGCACGGCCCUUACGUCCGGGGUCGACACACGUGUUACAAUGGGUGGUACAAAGGGUCAGCUACCUGGCGACAGGAUGCUAAUCUCCAAAACCGCUCUCAGUUCGGAUCGGAGUCUGCAACUCGACUCCGUGAAGCUGGAUUCGCUAGUAAUCGCGC